This 5709-nucleotide long non-coding RNA is filed under the name Sus scrofa (pig). RNAcentral describes it as "lncRNA (ENSSSCG00065073180.1)". The record is from RNAcentral. Lineage: Eukaryota; Metazoa; Chordata; Mammalia; Artiodactyla; Suidae.
CAGGUUUGCUAACGCUGAAAUGGCUGUUUAUUCACGACGGCGACGGGGGCAAGGAGGUGUAGGAAGAACAGUUUUACUCAUCUAGAAAGAAUAUGCCUUCCUUAGAAUGGUUCUUGCCGUUGGCAAAGCUGAGACCAUGCUCGCAGGCUUCUCCCCCUGCAGUAAGUGACAGGAAAAACACACGGGCGCCGUCGCCGGCUGAGGGUGGCUGUGGACGGCUGUGGCCAGCAGCGAGGCGGUUUACAUCAGAACGCAGGUGGGUGUACACAGCCCAUGAACUCAGGAGAAUGCAGCAGGGGAAGGCUGCAGAGGCCCGGUUGCGACUCCUGGAAAUGCCAGCCCCGCUUGGCUGUGAGCCUCCUGUGGUUGAGUUUCCCCAAGAAGUACCCAGGCCCGUGCCCCACGUGAGCUGUGCUUUCAGGUGAAAGUUUCUGUGCUCUGCAGCUGCGCUGGCCUCCCUCUGGGGGCCCUGCUUUGCAGGGGUUGCCAACCUGCUGGGUGGAAGGUCACCUGGGACCACCCAGACCCCUCCUGGGCCCCCUGCCUCUUCCAAUGACUCUGGAAGGUGGUGCAAAGGUUCCCUGUCGCCAGCGCUGGGCAGCCUGCUGGCCCUGCUCCCCGGGAGGCUGGCGGGCCCUGGCGGCUCUCGAGCCCGCCGCUCACUCACGCUGCAAAUGGCUGUCACUCCCGCUUUGCACAGCUUAACUGGAAGGGGCACUUUAGCGAAGCAGGCAGUUGGUCCCAGGCAGAAUCAAUCUUCCUGCUGCUGAAAGAGCCAGGCCCUGCGCGGCUGGCCUUGGGUGGGUUUGGAGCUUGUUGGCUCAACGUCCCCCUGCGGUAGCUGAAAUGAAAGGCUUGUGCUAGUGCCUGGUGCCUCCAGAGUCCGGCUAGGGCCCCUGUCUGUCCUUUCCCCCCCACCCACCCCCGUCCCCCCACCAAAGGCAGAGCAGAGGGCCAGGCACCCUGGGCUGGCCCGGCCUUGCAGAGAGCACAGGAGGAGGAGCCUGGAGCGGGGCUGUAAGGCAGUGCGGGCGGCAGGCUGGGGAGGUGCCGGGUCUGAGCAGAGAAGCGUUCUCAGAGGAGGCAGCAUGCAUCCAGCUGUUUGCAUUUUCGGGGGCGUUGUGUGUGCUCGGUUCAUUCUUCUUUGCGGAAGGUUUUAGGCGCGGUCGCAGCGCCUCGUACUCCUGCGCACUCAGAGUUCAGGUUCUUCCCUCUGCAGGGGUGGGCGUCUGGGUCAUAUUCGCAGGUGCCCUGCCCUCCGACUUUCAAGGACCAGGUUUCCCUGCUUUGUUUUUGUUUUGUUUGCUUGCUUUUGAAGCAGAGGCUCCCAAGUAUAGAGUUACCCCCUGUAUUCCCUCACUUACCCUCAAACCCUGCCUGUUUCCCAGGGGAUUGACAGAAGUCACCCCAAAGCCGGGCUUCUCAGCUCAGCACCACUGAAGCUCUGGGCCAGAUCCUUCUUUAUAGACGGGGCCCUUCCCGAGCUUCACGGGGAUGGGUUGUUCUUGGUUGUUAAACUCUGUUUAUCAUUUGUUCACUCACUCGCCUGCCUCUCUACCCAUUGAUCCGUCCAUCGGUCCCCCACCAACCAGCCAGCCAGCCAUCUGGGGGGUCAGAGUGCCUCUGGAGCCGAACGCCCUGGAACUUACACUCUGGCCCUAUGGAGUUCCCAUUGUGGCUCAGCAGGUUAAGAACCUGACUAGUAUCCAUGAGGAUUCAGGUUCGAUCCCUGGCCUCGCUCAGUGGGUUGGGGAUCCAGCGUUGCUGUGGCUGUGGUGAAAGCUGUCAGCUUGCAGCUCCAAUUCAACUCCUAACCUGGAAACGUCCACAUGCUGAGGGUGUGGCCCUAAAACAAGGAAAAGAAGAGAAGAGGAGAACUCUGGCUGUCCCUGGCUGACCGCAUGACCCGAGACUCAACUUCCCUGAGCCUCACUCGCCCUCCCGCCCGUCCGUGGAGAAGGCAGCGCCCCAUCGUGAGAAACAGCAGGACUGGGGCGAGGCCGGGCCUCAGGGGUGAGGGCGGGGUGCAGCAGGGGGAGGACUGAUGAGGCGAGAGCCGCUGGGGAGGGACGUGUCCAGUGAGCCGGGGUCGCAGGACGGUUAACUGUCCGAGGUGCAGCCACGGGAAGGGGAUGGUCUACCGUGACCUGAGCCUGGAGAGCGUCCAGGGAGCUGGGCGGCUGAGGCACAGAGUCCAGGGGAGAGUCAGGCGAGGGGGAUGCGACCAGCUGGGGCCCCGUGGAGACUGAGCCCAUGCGGUCACUGCGGGCGCUGAGGAGGCAUCUGGAAACGUGGGCUUCGAGAAGGCCGGCUCUGGUCUCCUGAGGGAGGUGACUCAGAACCGUGUGCUCGGACAAAGCAAGAGCAUGAACAGAGAAGGGUUGAGACUGGGCCUUCGGGAGCAGCUCACUGAGGUGGUGGGCGAGGGUGGUAGGCUGGGGGAGAGCGGGGACAGAGCCCUCAAGGAAGCCGUCAGAAGCUCCGAGGCAUUCCUGUGAUGCAGCGUCACACGGGGGCUCAGGGGAAGGACGUUCAGAGAGGAGGCGGGCCCAGAGAGGUCUGGAUGGGUCAAGAUGGACCAGCAGGUGGCAGCCCGUCUGCAGGGAGCAGAGGGGGCCGCAGGCAGCGGUCUGUCAGGCCAUGACACUCGUCAAAUCGUUCUCUUGUUCCUGGUAAUCCACUCCUGACCACAGAAUGAGUCCCUUCCUUGCGCGUUUAGGAUGCUCUGGGAGCUUCACUUGGAUGUGAGCUGGAGACGCAAAGCAGAGCCCAGCAAGGUUAAGUAACUUGCCCUGCGUCACACAGCUCCUCGGUGGCUGCAGCGCGGCCCUGGGAGCAUGGCCCUUGGACUGCGUACUCACUGUCAGGAAGCCACUGUGACCUGGGCGGUGAGCGUGACCACCUACCUAGAUGGGUUGUGGGGACACUCACAGAUGUGAGAAGGCGACGCAGGCUGGGCAUUAGAGAACCCGGGCCGUGAGCUGCUUGCUGCUCGGACCCCAGGACCACUGUUCAGACAAGAGGUGCCCUUCUGUUUCCCUCUCCUCACUCCCGGCCUCCCUCCCUCCCCUUUGGAGCUCCCCAUACAGCCCCCUUCUCAGCUGCGUGUGGCCCCUCCGUGCGCCCCUCCCCUGCUCCCGCCCUCAGCCCCACGCGGUGAGCGCUUCCCUCUGUCCCAAUCCGAGCCACCUGCUCUCCUGUGUGCCUUCCGUGGGUCACGUCGGGGCAGAGCGGGGCUACUGUGCGCUUGGAGCUCAAAGUCCCUUUGCAGCCAAGUCCCUGGAGGCCCGUGGAGCUCUCGGUUUGGGGCCCAGUUGGACGUCUGGCUUCUCAGACAUCCUUUCCCGUUAAAAAUGGAAGGUCAUAAAAACAGGGCCCUUCGGUCCCUCUCGGGCUCCGCCUUUGUUAGCGUGGCUGGGGAUUGGGGGCGGCCUCUCCUCUCUGUCCCAGUGUGAUGUGUCAGGUCACGGGUCGUCUCGGCUGCACCAUGGCCAGGCCAUGUGAGCCUCAGCAGCCCAUGCCCUCCCAGGUCCCGCCGCCCCCAUCACUGAGCACCCCCCCACCCAGGGUCCCCCUUGGGAUGCGGGCUUCCUGCCCCGCCCGCACUCUGCCCUCUGGAGCUGCUUGCACAGGCUUCGCAUCGCAUGUAAGCUGCAUCCUUCCACACCAGCCCUGAAGCCGCUUAAACAGGACCACACACCCGUCAGCACCACCUGGUGCCAGCCCCGGGUGCCCUCGAGGACAGGGACCACCUUGCAUUCGCCCUGAGGGGCAGUGGGUGUCGCACGGGCCAGCGCUGUACCUGGCACAGGGCAUUCAGCAUGCCCGCUGUCACGGUCCUUGUCUGUGUCCUCGCUCCCCAGCACACACCGCCCCCCACCUCCCCGAGUUCCAGCACGGGGCCUGCUUGCAGUUCAGCAAGGCUCCCGGACUAAAAUGAAACGAAUGAAUACUUGAGAGUUGGGUCUGUGGAGAGUCAGAGAAGUCGGGGAGAGGGUGACCCUGGGGGUGGGGUGUUAGGCGGGACGAAACCUCGGCCCCCUGCCUGGCAUCCUCGCCUCCCACCCAGCGGCCGCACCCCUCCAGCCCCACCACCAGUCUCAUCGGCCCCUGCUGAGUCUCCUCCUCGCUCCACUAUUUUUAUCCAGAAAUAGAAGCUUUUCAUACAUUUAACUCUUUUUUUAAGUCGGGUAUAUUUCAGAUCCCAGCCCUCCACCCUCCCCCGAUUCAGAUCACCUCUGCAGGCAUUUACCGAGUCCUCCGUGCAUGCAGACACCGGGCUGGCCUCUGAAGACACAGCCCAGAACCAGGCCCUCGCGCCCGCCCUGGCGGCACACAGCCUGGCAGGCCAGACAAGGGGUCCCCCGGGCGUGGGGGCCCGGCCACCCAUCUCGGACAGUGGGACAGGUAGCCUGAAGGUCGUGCUUGGAGCCCCUUUUCCCAGGAUGAGGUUUUGUGUGAUUUUAACUUGUUUGCAGAUAAUUAACCCUCGGGUCAAAAAAUCAUACUCUUCUGCCUCUGGGGAGAUUGAAAUCAGAUUUUUGAAGAGAAGCAAUUGCUGUGCAGAAUUAAAAGCUUCUUGAUGAAUAAUGCUGUCUACACAGGGAGGAAAUUACAGUAGCACUUUCUGCUAUGUAAUUAAAAAACCAAAAAAGUAGAGAUGAAUGAAAUACCCAGCAGUGAAAAUGGGAUUUGGUUUUCAGCAGAGGAGAUGGAAGCUGUCAGGCCCGCGGCUUCUCCGUCUAAGGGAAGUGUGUCCCGACUCGUUUCAGCUCAUGGCCAGGAAUUUCAUGGCACGUCUUCUGUAACCUUGCUAAGACCAUGGCCUAAAAGGGGGGAUUUUUUACUGUCGAAUACGUUUUUUUUUUUUUUCUUUCUAUCCAUUGAUCUUCUUUCUAAAAUCUCAAAGACGUUCCAUAGACCCAGGUGGGGCAUCACCUGUUUAGUUCCCCCCUCUCCCCACUGCCACACCCUGACUUCAGCAGGCUUUAACCGCUGCACAUUUGCCCAAGAACCUGGACUUGUGGUCAGAGCCAGGGGGUCUGCCCAGUGCUCCCAAGUCUGGUUUUUCCUGACUGUCGUGAAAUCAAGCCAGAGAGCCCGUGGCUGCUGCGGCCAGUUGUGCAGGAAUCAGAGGCCUCCAUCCUGGCCCAGCCCAGUGACUUGCUGUGCAACCCCUGAAGCCAGUCACCCCUCGGAGCCUUGGUGUCCAUGUGCACAGGAUGGGGACCGGAAUAGCCUCGACACAGAGAUGCGAGCGCUGGGGAUGGACGCCUGGUGCCCGGUGAGGUCCCAGAAAUGCCGGCUGCUGUUGGAAAUGAUCAUGGGCCUCGAGGGCUGAGUUGGAGUGAUGGCUGAGGGACCGAGACUGGGACGUCAUUCUUUCAGGAACCCUGGAGAGCAGGGCGGGAGUGGGAGGCCUGUCCUCAAGGCCCAGGAGACCUCACCCCACGCACCAGGUCUCAGGGUCAUACUCCUGAGGUCCGGAACACACGUUCUUCUGAGAAAAGAAGAAAAAGAAGACCAGGCAGGAAAAAGAGUCAUGUCCGGAGUUUCUGUUGUGGCUCAGGGGUAGUGAACUUGACUAAGAUCCACGAGGACUCGGGUUCGAUCCCUAGCUUCGCUCAGUGGGUUAAAGAUCUGGCGUUGCCAUGAGCUCUGGUGUAGGUCACAGAUGCACCUUGGAUCAGGUGUUGUUGUGGCUGUGGC